GAAAAACAGAGUAAAAAUGUCAAUUCUGCUUUAAUAUGACUGAAGCAAUACUGCUGUAAACAUGAGAAGAUGAUCUGUGGUAAAAUUAUGGUAUGCAAAUUUUUUAUAUUUUAAGAAGUUCACACAAAUGCAGCCAGGGAUGCUUAGAAAGUAAUUUAAGGAGAAACAAACUGAAAACCCAGCCGACUACUGGAUAGCUUGAGUCACAUAAAUGUUUACAAGUGCAAAAACAGUCAUCCUUCUAUGCCAUACCAGGAAGCAGGUGAUAUGGGAGAGAAUUAUACAUACCAGAGGAGAGGGCUGGAACUAAGUGAUCUUUAAGGUCCAUUACAAACCAAGCCAUUCUGUCGCACUGUCUUGGUGAGCAUUUGCCUGCAUUCCCAAGGAGGCUAAUCCAUCCUAGAUACAGUACGUGUAACUUCCGGGAAGUCUAAAGUGCUUCAACGAUAAGGAACGUGCGGUGUUCUCUGAAAUCGCUGUUUCACUCAGGCAGAUGUGCAUGCAUAUAUCUGCAGGAGACAACCAUAAAGCAUCAUCCUGAAGUCAUCCUAGCUAAAAAAAAAACAACCCAGCUCCAAAGAAACCACCAGAUGCUGAGACUUUACAUUCCUGAGGAAGAGAACUGCUCAGUAAAUACUCCUACACUGCCUCCAAGACUCAAAAAUCAAGAUAACUGGGUUUUCUCUUCUGCAAAAUGGAAGUGAAAAGGAAGCCUCUGUUCAGAAAGUGCCCAUGAAUACUCAAGGCAAGCUGUAGCACUGUCUGUUCAGUCCAGGUAAUUAAAAUCAAACAGAAUUGUGAAUGCCCUAUCAAAAGGAAUUGACUCAUGGCAAUUAAAGGCAAUUGCCUUAUAGUUAUACAGUAGUAAUAUAAGAUUGAGUCUACAACCACUGUUACUUGAAGCUAGCAUUAAUGAGAAACUGCAGUGAAGCUGAUCAUUGCCACUCAUUACUGAGACACAAUAAAGAAACCACGGAACUCAAGGAGGAUAAGUCCCAUAG
This 1001-nucleotide long non-coding RNA is filed under the name Gallus gallus (chicken). Its description in RNAcentral is "lncRNA (ENSGALG00010015499.1)". Lineage: Eukaryota; Metazoa; Chordata; Aves; Galliformes; Phasianidae. The record is from RNAcentral.